CCUACGGGUGGCUGCAGUAGGGAAUAUUGCUCAAUGGGGGAAACCCUGAAGCAGCAACGCCGCGUGAAGGAUGAAGGCUUUAGGAUUGUAAACCCCUUUUUUGAGAGAAGAUAAUGACGGUACCUCAGGAAUAAGCACCGGCUAACUCCGUGCCAGCAGCCGCGGUAAUACGGAGGGGGCAAGCGUUACCCGGAAUCACUGGGCGUAAAGGGUGCGUAGGCGGGUUUGUAAGUCAGAUGUGAAAUGCUGAGGCUUAACUACAGAACUGCAUUUGAAACUGGGAGUCUAGAGUUCAGGAGAGGUAGGUGGAAUUCCUGGUGUAGCGGUGAAAUGCGUAGAUAUCAAGAGGAAUACUCAUUGCGAAGGCGGCCUACUGGAAUGUUACUGACACUGAUGCACGAAAGCGUGGGGAGCAAACAGGAUUAGAUACCCCGGUAGUC
Molecule: ribosomal RNA, 440 nt
Filed under: uncultured bacterium
Lineage: Bacteria
Description: partial 16S ribosomal RNA
Rfam family: Bacterial small subunit ribosomal RNA
Source: RNAcentral